RNAcentral lists this ribosomal RNA (301 nucleotides) under uncultured bacterium. RNAcentral's name for it is "partial 16S ribosomal RNA". It matches the Rfam family "Bacterial small subunit ribosomal RNA", at positions 509 to 808 of the family's 1533-position model. The record is from RNAcentral.
CAGCAGCCGCGGUAAUACGUAGGUGGCAAGCGUUGUCCGGAAUUAUUGGGCGUAAAGGGCUCGCAGGCGGUUUCUUAAGUCUGAUGUGAAAGCCCCCGGCUCAACCGGGGAGGGUCAUUGGAAACUGGGAAACUUGAGUGCAGAAGAGGAGAGUGGAAUUCCACGUGUAGCGGUGAAAUGCGUAGAGAUGUGGAGGAACACCAGUGGCGAAGGCGACUCUCUGGUCUGUAACUGACGCUGAGGAGCGAAAGCGUGGGGAGCGAACAGGAUUAGAUACCGCGUAGUCCCUGUCUCUUAUACA